RNAcentral lists this ribosomal RNA (339 nucleotides) under uncultured bacterium. RNAcentral's name for it is "bacterial SSU rRNA". It matches the Rfam family "Bacterial small subunit ribosomal RNA", at positions 1 to 334 of the family's 1533-position model. The record is from RNAcentral.
GACGUGACUUCAGAGUUUGAUCCUGGCUCAGGACGAACGCUGGCGGCGUGCCUAACACAUGCAAGUCGAACGGGGUAGAGAGCUUCGGUUCUCUACUUAGUGACGAACGGGUGAGUAACGCGUGAGAAACCUGCCUUUCAGUGGGGGACAACAGUUGGAAACGACUGCUAAUACCGCAUAAUGUUAUUUGGGGGCAUCCCUGAAUAACCAAAGCUUUAUGUGCUGAAAGAUGGUCUCGCGUCUGAUUAGCUAGAUGGCGGGGUAACGGCCCACCAUGGCGACGAUCAGUAGCCGGUCUGAGAGGAUGAACGGCCACAUUGGGACUGAGAUACGGCCCAG